This 840-nucleotide long non-coding RNA is filed under the name Triticum aestivum (bread wheat). RNAcentral describes it as "long non-coding RNA (TAES_LNC024998)". Lineage: Eukaryota; Viridiplantae; Streptophyta; Magnoliopsida; Poales; Poaceae. The record is from RNAcentral.
AUAAGCAGUACCAGCAGCAGCUUCAGUGUACAUACACAGUUGCAAAGUACGUACUACUCUGCUGCUGAUCAUCAGAGCGGAGCGGAGAAGUGAAGGAGCUAAGGAUACAUGAAUAAAGAAAACAGAAACAACUGGUGAGGAAAUUGUUUUUACACAAUCCACUAAAAUUAAGAUUGCUCGCUCCAGCUCUAGCUCCUUGGAGAUGCUAAUUAUUCGUAGAGAUGCAUGCACAUUGUUGGGUAUAUAUAUGGUUUCCAAACAACAGGGUACUUCAUUCCCUAUAGCACACGCUUUAUGACCAUAGUUCGAUACUAACUGUAUUUAUUUGGAACCUAUGAACAAUUUCACCAUGCGUUGAAAAUGGAAUGUAGGUCACAAAAUCCGAAGGGAUAAACCGAGCAUGCAAGCCACACCCUUGUGCUCGAUUGCCGCCACGGUCGCGCCCUAUCCAGAUACCAGGCACGGGACGAGGCCGCCGUGUCUCGUGUGCGACCCCACAGCAAAAGUGUGCCUCCACACACCUACUUUAUUCCUCUGCUGACUCUGACAAAGCUGGUGAUUCUAGCCCUGCAGGGCACCAAAUUGUUGUAGAGCUGAUUUUAGGAUAUCUGGGGCAUAACCGUCGACGGAAGCAAUUCCUGGCUUGUCAAACGAUACGACAUCCUCUAGCGAAUAGUUUCUGGCGGCAUGAAGCUGGUUUGGCGCGGAAUUAAAUGAGCCUUUGAGUAUGAUGGUCUUCUGCACGCCUCCGAGUAGCCCUUCAUAAUCUGUAUCGCCGCUUUCACCAACAACCACCGUCAUGUUCGACAGCUCUACGCCCCACCUUAUAUACAAGUACCU